AACAAAAGCAGGGUAGGGCUCCAGCUAAGCCACGUAGGCACUACGAUGGGCAACAGAAAGGUUGGUUUCUGGGCAAUUCAGAGAAACCAAGGACAGCUACCCCCAGAACUCAGAGUAGCCAACUGGGUUGCUCACAGGAGAUGCCUUAACUGAAAGGUGAUCAGACUCCACAGGAGACCCAGAGAAGAUGUGGAGGGAGCUCAGAGGCUGUCCUGGAGGAGACGUGGAGACAGUUCAGAGGCUGUCCCGGAGAAGACGUGGAAAGAGCUCAGAGGCUGUCCCAGAGAAGACGUGGAGAGCUCAGAGGAUGUCCCAAACAAGAGAGAGCUCAGAGGCUGUCCCAGAGAAGACGUGGAGAGAGUUCAGAGGCUGUCCUGGAGAAGACGUGGAAAGAGCUCAGAGACUCAGAGACUGUCCCGGAGAAGACAUGGAAACAGCUCAGAGGCUGUCUGCAAGAAGACGUGCAGAGAGUUCAGAGGCUGUCCCAGAGAAGACAUGGAGAGAGCUCAAAGGCUGUCCACAAGAAGAUGUGGAGAGAGUUCAGAGGCUGUCGUUACUGUUGCACUUGGCUGUUUUUCUUUGGAUAAUUAUUGCAAUCAAUUUUAGUAAUUCAGGUGUUAAAUCACAGUCAAGCACCUAUUUACCUAGUGGUAAAAUCCUUAAGUAAGUCAUAUUUGGUUGGGAAGAUCAAAGAAAUCACCCAGUCUCCCACAUCCGAAAUUGUGCA
This 727-nucleotide long non-coding RNA is filed under the name Homo sapiens (human). RNAcentral describes it as "family with sequence similarity 74 member A7 (FAM74A7)". The record is from RNAcentral. Lineage: Eukaryota; Metazoa; Chordata; Mammalia; Primates; Hominidae.